GGUAUAGCUCAGUUUGUAGAGUGCUUGCCUCCCAUGCACAAGGCCCUGGGUUUAAUUCCCAGAACCA
This 67-nucleotide transfer RNA is filed under the name Marmota monax (woodchuck). It matches the Rfam family "tRNA". Rfam says of the family: Transfer RNA (tRNA) molecules are approximately 80 nucleotides in length. Their secondary structure includes four short double-helical elements and three loops (D, anti-codon, and T loops). Further hydrogen bonds mediate the characteristic L-shaped molecular structure. tRNAs have two regions of fundamental functional importance: the anti-codon, which is responsible for specific mRNA codon recognition, and the 3' end, to which the tRNAs corresponding amino acid is attached (by aminoacyl-tRNA synthetases). tRNAs cope with the degeneracy of the genetic code in two manners: having more than one tRNA (with a specific anti-codon) for a particular amino acid; and 'wobble' base-pairing, i.e. permitting non-standard base-pairing at the 3rd anti-codon position. The record is from Rfam by way of RNAcentral. Lineage: Eukaryota; Metazoa; Chordata; Mammalia; Rodentia; Sciuridae.